Molecule: long non-coding RNA, 1437 nt
Organism: Phragmites australis (common reed)
Lineage: Eukaryota; Viridiplantae; Streptophyta; Magnoliopsida; Poales; Poaceae
Exons: 5
Source: RefSeq, a predicted model, not a curated record
CCGUGCCGCCUUCCCCUGCAUGCCCACGGCCGUGCUCGUGCCCGUCCGCAUAGGCCUACUGCUUGAUGGUGACGGGGCUGCGCAAGUUUGAGGAGGGCCGAUCCGUGCCUUAUAGCGACGGGUGGUGCUGUUGCUCCUUGGUGACGGCGGCGACAGUAAUCUCGAGUUACCAAAUGCGGGUACGAGUUCUAGAUUUGCCUCUCCUACUCACCUUCCUCGGCUACCUUCCUGGGAUUAUUGGCAUCCAGUGAGGAGGAGAGCAGAGAGAGCACGAGGUGGGGGCAAAGAGCACAACAACGAUAUCUGGGCAGGCCGCAAGCAUGGACGCUCGAUGGAACACCAACGGCCAGCGUCUGGAGCCACAACGGGCACCUCCAAGAUUGGAUCCGGAGGAAUCCAGGAUCGUCGAAACCACGACCACGUCCAUUGCGGCAAGGGCUGACACAUGUUGAGGCUAGGGGUGCAAUGACACCGAAUAAUUCUUUAUUUUUCAGUUAUACAUUAUAUUUAUUAGGGUCAUAUGACACCUUCUCUUCUUUCUAAGAAAGAGGACACCAGAUAUUAAUCUGAUAAGUAAGACAUCUAAUUAUUUUUAUUCUUAGUCCGUUACUGUAUUGAUUAUUUUUGUUCUUGAUCCGGCACUGUAUUGCGGCCCUCAUGGCAGCGUGCCUAGGCACAUCCCUGCACCGCCGCCGGUCUGAUGCGAUGGAGUGCCUGGACGCUGCCAUCCAAAUCCGCACGGAUCCCACCUUGUUUACCAAAACCAACAGCACCCUUCAGGAUCUGCAUUCAAUUUUAAACCUCGCUAUGCUCAUUUUCAGAUAGGAAAUUCUAUUGCACUGAAUUUUUUAAUACAAAGGACAACAACAAGCUGGUACAAGAGGUACUAUCUGAAAUGGCUAAUGGUGGAGUUAACUGCACCGUUGAAUGCACGGGCCACGUCCAUGCUACGGUUUCUACAUCUGAAUGAGUUCAUGGCAUAGGUUCUCAAGAUAACCAUGUAGUUGCAUGAUCAUGGCACACAAGGAAGCUGUGAUCAAGUCUCACCCAAUGAACUUACUGAACGAGAGGGGCUUAUUGCACUGGAAGAGUAUCUUGUUCAGCUGAGCGAUAAGCUUCAACUAGAAGCGCAAAGUAUUCCUAAUGCUACACAUUUAUAUGUUCCCAUAGGGGGUGAGGAAAGUUGUGUCGUCAGAAAGGAGAAUGGCACCAGAGGAGCUUCAAUUUCGCAAUCAAAGAACCAUCAACUGGGAAAGGAUCUUGAUUUGUUUGACUUUGAUGCAGCUGCCGAAGUACAAUUGUGACAAUAUUAUGUUCAAUUUACAAUUUAAACAAGACACUGUAGCAAGUCUAUCAAUAACAGAUUGUUUAUACAUCUGAAAAGUUUAACUGCAUGAUAUUUAGUAAAUAGAUUUGAAAUUAUUCUUUUUCACGUUC